GUCAGAAAAAGGCAAACCUAUUGAAAAAUGGGGACGCAAAGCCGUGGAUCUAAGGUAGAAAUGCUAUGAUAGCCGGGCUGCCUGA
Molecule: non-coding RNA, 85 nt
Filed under: Bacillus sp. (in: firmicutes)
Lineage: Bacteria; Bacillati; Bacillota; Bacilli; Caryophanales; Bacillaceae
Also listed under: 1 other name
Description: Bacillus sp. c-di-GMP sequence
Rfam family: c-di-GMP-I riboswitch aptamer
About the family: GEMM was predicted in a large-scale screen for bacterial structured RNA regulatory elements. Genes associated with GEMM are involved in a diverse array of functions, including chemotaxis regulation, signal transduction, secretion and chitin.
Source: RNAcentral